RNAcentral lists this long non-coding RNA (401 nucleotides) under Anser brachyrhynchus (Pink-footed goose). RNAcentral describes it as "lncRNA (ENSABRG00000010182.1)". Lineage: Eukaryota; Metazoa; Chordata; Aves; Anseriformes; Anatidae. The record is from RNAcentral.
GGAGAACGUAAAAUCUUGAGUUAGAAAUGCCCAUUUGUUCAGAAGGCUGUGAGGGAACAAUUCUAUGAAUGUAGGUAACAAUACUAAGUGAUUAUUUUGACUGAAUGGUAUAUGAACCUUGCUACGUACCGUAAUUUGUGAUUUCUCACAGGGAAUGUGAUGCUGACACAGAAAGAAACAGCAACUGAGACAGGAGCAGGGGUAUACAGGAAGGAUUAAACACCAAUGUAUCUGAUCGGGCUGAUCAUGGAUCCUGUCUCUACUUUACAUUGCUCUGUGACAAAAACGGCACCCUGACCAAAGUCUUUCAGAGCAGAAAGGCAAAUGUCCUAGGUGACCACAGCUGAAGCAGCCGGGAUACACACAGAUGCAGGAUGUUACCCAUCUGGGGCAGCUUGCUG